AAUCUUCCAACUUCCUUUUAAUCCCCUUGCAUAAAUUUGUGCCUCCGGCACUGAGCAUAAGUACCAUUAGGUUUCUGUGGUAAGGAUGCAAAAUGCAUUUCAUCAUCAAUCACCAUAAAAGAAGCAUCUAAUCAGGAUUGUACAGCAGGCAGCAUUUUUAUUAAGAACAUUUAUUCUUGAGAGAGAUAAGCCAUGACAUUUUUCGAGGGGGAAUAGAACUUUGAAGGUGUGGAUAUGGAAUUAGAGCUACAGAUUUCAACAAAAUUUCUAACACUGAACCUGACAAAGAGAUAAAAUGAAAAAUCUUACCAUUCAGCACUUGCUACGAUAUCAAAGACCGAGGACGUAGUUCAUUGUCUUCGCAUUUUUUACUGUUUGCUUGAGCAAGCUGUUGGUUCUGUUGCAGCAGUUUCUGCACCAAGCUUUUUUCUUGGAGUAUUCACCAAAUUAGCCUCCAUUGCUUUUCCUACUUUUGCUUAAUUCAUCAAUUUCCACUUUAAGCAGAGGUGGAGCUAAGUGGAGGAAAGUGAAUUCAAUUAAAUCCCUUUGUCAACUUUUAUACUCUGCAAAUGGCAAAAAACAUUUUUUUUUUGGUUACAUAUAAUCUGUUGAAUUCCUUGAUAUUAGGAAAAAGUCUAGUCAAGUGACAUAGGGUUCAAAAUUUGCUUUAGAUCACACCUUCAAAUUCCAUACUUGACAUUAUUUAUUUUUUGUAAUCACCUUAUAAAUUAUUGGCUUCGCCAUUCCCUUUAAGAACCCUAAUUUCUUCGCAAGAAACGAAAUAUCAUUAACUUUUACAACUAAUUCAACUCUUUAACAGCAGAGAAACUAAUAACUAUGCUUAAAUCAAUAUUUAGAAUUUGGAAGCUUGAACAAUUAGAACUAUUUUGUAAAUAAAUUAAACAUUUAUGGUCGAAAUUCACAACAUAAGAUAAUUGUUUAAUCUUUUAUAAUAAGCAAUAAGAACUCAAAUAAAAAUCCUGAAAAUAGGAAUGCAAAUUAUGGCUUUAGUAAAAUUUAGGAAUGGAAGAGGAACUUACAACUCGAUAUCGCAGGAGAGAGAUAUUUGUGAGGAGUUUCGCGGGAACCUCGUCGCCGAGGAGUUCGCCGCCGAAAUGUAAUUUGAAAUUGGGGCCGAAUGUAAGUCGGACUUUGGGUCCUUAUUUGGUAAAAAUGGU
This 1178-nucleotide long non-coding RNA is filed under the name Nicotiana benthamiana. RNAcentral describes it as "long non-coding RNA (NBEN_LNC017943)". Lineage: Eukaryota; Viridiplantae; Streptophyta; Magnoliopsida; Solanales; Solanaceae. The record is from RNAcentral.